UACGGAGGGUGCAAGCGCUAUCCGGAUUCACUGGGUUUAAAGGGUGCGUAGGUGGGUUGGUAAGUCAGUGGUGAAAUCUCCGAGCUUAACUUGGAAACUGCCAUUGAUACUAUUAAUCUUGAAUAUUGUGGAGGUCAGCGGAAUAUGUCAUGUAGCGGUGAAAUGCUUAGAGAUGACAUAGAACACCAAUUGCGAAGGCAGCUGGCUACACAUAUAUUGACACUGAGGCACGAAAGCGUGGGGAUCAAACAGG
RNAcentral lists this ribosomal RNA (253 nucleotides) under uncultured bacterium. RNAcentral describes it as "partial 16S ribosomal RNA". It matches the Rfam family "Bacterial small subunit ribosomal RNA", at positions 524 to 776 of the family's 1533-position model. The record is from RNAcentral.